AGAGAGGUGGCCGAGUGGUCGAAGGCGCACGCCUGGAAAGUGUGUAUACGGCAACGUAUCGAGGGUUCGAAUCCCUUCCUCUCUGCAA
Molecule: transfer RNA, 88 nt
Filed under: Myroides odoratus CIP 103059
Lineage: Bacteria; Pseudomonadati; Bacteroidota; Flavobacteriia; Flavobacteriales; Flavobacteriaceae
Also listed under: 2 other names
Description: tRNA-Ser
Rfam family: tRNA
About the family: Transfer RNA (tRNA) molecules are approximately 80 nucleotides in length. Their secondary structure includes four short double-helical elements and three loops (D, anti-codon, and T loops).
Source: RNAcentral